Molecule: RNase P RNA, 275 nt
Filed under: Salmonella enterica subsp. enterica serovar Typhimurium
Lineage: Bacteria; Pseudomonadati; Pseudomonadota; Gammaproteobacteria; Enterobacterales; Enterobacteriaceae
Description: RNase P RNA component class A
Rfam family: Bacterial RNase P class A
About the family: Ribonuclease P (RNase P) is a ubiquitous endoribonuclease, found in archaea, bacteria and eukarya as well as chloroplasts and mitochondria. Its best characterised activity is the generation of mature 5'-ends of tRNAs by cleaving the 5'-leader elements of precursor-tRNAs. Cellular RNase Ps are ribonucleoproteins.
Source: RNAcentral
GAGAAAAGCCCGGGCUCCAUGGGGCGGGGGGCCGGGUACCGCCUGGGGGGGAAACCCACGACCAGUGAAACAGAGAGAAAACCGCCGAUGGCCCACGUAAGUGGGAUCAGGUAAGGGUGAAAGGGUGCGGUAAGAGCGCACCGCGCGGCUGGUAACAGUCCGUGGCACGGUAAACUCCACCCGGAGCAAGGCCAAAUAGGGGUUCAUAAGGUACGGCCCGUACUGAACCCGGGUAGGCUGCUUGAGCCAGUGAGCGAUUGCUGGCCUAGAUGAAU